This 689-nucleotide long non-coding RNA is filed under the name Populus trichocarpa (black cottonwood). RNAcentral's name for it is "long non-coding RNA (PTRI_LNC003560)". Lineage: Eukaryota; Viridiplantae; Streptophyta; Magnoliopsida; Malpighiales; Salicaceae. The record is from RNAcentral.
ACUACUGCCAAUACCAAUGUGGACCAGUCCACCUAACACAUCCACACAUGCACCUAGCUUGAGAGUGUCAAUGGAGCAAGUCUCUUGUUUUGGUGGUGGUGGUGGAGGUGGAGGACAUGGUGUUUCAGGUGGUGGAGGGUUCACAAUAGGUGGUGUUGGUGGCUUUAUUGGAGGAGUCACUGGAGGCUUUGGUGGUGGAAGAGUUGGUGGUGCUGGUGGCAUUAUUGGAGGAGUCACUGGAGGCUUUGGUGGUGGAAGAGUUGGUGGUGUUGGUGGUGUUGGUGGCAUUAUUGGAGGAGUCACUGGAGGCUUUGGUGGUGGAAGAGUUGGUGGUGUUGGUGGCAUUAUUGGAGGAGUCACUGGAGGCUUUGGUGGUGGAAGAGUUGGUGGUGUUGGUGGCUUUAUUGGAGGAGUCACUGGAGGCUUUGGUGGUGGAAGAGUUGGUGGUGGAAGAGCUGGAGGUGUUGGUGGCUUUAUUGGAGGAAUCACUGGAGGCUUUGGUGGUGGAAGAGCUGGUGGUGUUGGUGGCAGAACUGGUGGUUUGGGCACAUAUGGUGGUUUUGGUAUGAAGGGCGGAUGCACAAUGGGUGGUUUCGGUUUGAAGGGCGGAUGCACAAUGGGUGGUUUCGGUUUGAAGGGCGGAUGCACAAUGGGUGGUUUCGGUGUAUAGGGCGGAUGCACAAUGGGUG